This is a non-coding RNA of Punica granatum (pomegranate), 1635 nucleotides long. Lineage: Eukaryota; Viridiplantae; Streptophyta; Magnoliopsida; Myrtales; Lythraceae. The record is from RefSeq and is a predicted model, not a curated record.
UUUCUUCUUCUGUUCUAUGCGGGGAAAAACAAGAAGAAGCAGAGAACACGGGAGAGAGAGAGAGCGAGAGAGAAAGAGAGGUAUGCAUGUGCUAGAGAAAGGGAAAUGGAGAAUUCGACUGAGAGUCGGGGUGGAGUUUACCCGAAGGGAGGGAGUAUAUCAAAGCCAUGCAUCUCGGGGACUUCAACUUGGUGAUUUAUUUUUGGGAGUUAUCGAUAGCUUCCGAUUUCGCGGAGGAAUCACUUUUUGAUAUCGGGAAUCAGCUUGUAGGACUAGGUAGGAACCUUAGUUAUUUAAUAGAUAUCCUUUCUGUAUAAAAUGGACUUGAGAAUGUCACGACCUGAAAUUUUUGUCUAGUUGGUUUAGCAAUGUAGUUUUACUAGAAUCGUACUUAUAUAAAUAUAUAUGCUAGAGCAUUUAUAGUAGUUGUAUGUUUUUGAGAGUUAUGGAAAGCAGAUUUUAUAUGAAUAGUUACGUGAUAAUGGAUGUCGAAGAAAUAUAGGGAAAGUUCAGCUGAAAUUUCGAGUCGUGACAAUGUGAUCGUGAUGUUAAGUUCCUAAGUCACUUUUGGCGUGUUUUGUGGGGUAAAUUGGGAACAAAGCUAUUGUUUUCUACCACUUGCCACCCACAAACUGAUGGGCAAACAGAGGUUGUAAAUCGAACCUUAGGUACUUUGCUGCGACCUGUUAUUAAAAGGAACUUGAAAAGUUAGGAAGACUACAUUCCAUUCAUUGAGUUUGCAUAUAAUCGGGCCAUGCAUUCUUCUACUAAGUUUUCUCCCUUUGAGGUUGUUUAUGACUUUAAUCCACUAACCCCAUUGGAUUUAACUCCAUUGCCUAUUGGUGAGAUUGUUAGCCUUGAUGGAAAGCGUAAGGCAGAAUUUGUGAAGAAGAUCCAUGAAGAAGCAAGGAACCACAUUUUGCACAAGAACAAGCAAGCUGCCACUCGAGCCAACAAGGGAAGAAAGCAUGUCACUUUCGAACCGGGAGAUUGGGUUUGGGUUCAUUUCAAGAAGGAGAGGUUUCCAAGCCAAAGGAAAUCAAAAUUCGAGGACGAAUCCUUUUGAAGAAGGGGAGAAUGAUAGGGUUGAGCCGGACUCCGAACAUGAGGACAAGUUGCAUAUUUCUACCGGACCGGUCACCAGAGCACGUGCCAAGAAAUUGGAGCAAGCCUUGCAGAACUUAUGGACGCAUAUUCGGGAAGAGGCACGCAGUUCGAAAGACGAACAAGUUGACUCGGGGCUGAUUUUGGUCAUCAAGAGUGCUGGACCUCAUCAGUACACAUCGGGGCAUUAAAUGAUGACCACAACUACCUCAAAUCUGGAUGGAUAUGCAUUCUAGAAGAUGACCACCAAAUCUGGUUGGAAUAUGCCUUCUAUCAGGUUGGAAUAUGCCUUCUAGAAGAUGGCCACCAAAUCUGGUUGGAAUAUGCCUUCUAUCAGGUUGGAAUAUGCCUUUUAGAAUAUGUUUGCUUUUCUUAGUUGUCUUUAGAUUACAAGAGCAUUAUAAGAUCUUCUCUAGGAUAUUUUUUUUGAGAACUUUUCUGCCAUUUUCUAUUUUGUGUGAGAGAUAUUCUCCAAAUUGUUCUUGUUGAACUUAUGCUUCAAAGGUUGCAAGUCGAUUACUUGUAGUUCUU